UACGGAGGGUGCAAGCGUUAUCCGGAUUCACUGGGUUUAAAGGGUGCGUAGGUGGGUCUGUAAGUCCGUGGUGAAAUCUCCAAGCUUAACUUGGAAACUGCCAUGGAUACUAUAGGUCUUGAAUACCGUGGAGGUGAGCGGAAUAUGUCAUGUAGCGGUGAAAUGCUUAGAUAUGACAUAGAACACCAAUUGCGAAGGCAGCUCACUACACGAAUAUUGACACUGAGGCACGAAAGCGUGGGGAGCAAACAGG
This 253-nucleotide ribosomal RNA is filed under the name uncultured bacterium. Its description in RNAcentral is "partial 16S ribosomal RNA". It matches the Rfam family "Bacterial small subunit ribosomal RNA", at positions 524 to 776 of the family's 1533-position model. The record is from RNAcentral.